Long non-coding RNA from Trifolium pratense (red clover), 771 nucleotides. RefSeq lists it as uncharacterized. The transcript is spliced from 3 exons. The record is from RefSeq and is a predicted model, not a curated record. Lineage: Eukaryota; Viridiplantae; Streptophyta; Magnoliopsida; Fabales; Fabaceae.
UUUAUUUUAAAAAAAAAUCUUUUAAAAACAAAAGUGAACUUGUUUUGACAUAAAAAAAAAAGUUUUAUCUAUAUAUAACUGGAAUAUUGAAAUAUAUACAACAUUAACAAACUCUCCAAAAUUUGCCAUCACUUUUUAGGUCUCCUCAAAAUAUAAUAUACUGUCUCUCUUUGAAUUUGAAUUUGCGAUUGUUAAAGAAGAAAGAUACAACUCCUCUCAUCCAAGGUGAAAAAAAACAUGGAAAAUCCUCUUAUUGCGAUUGUGGUGGAAGAACCUUACUCCUCUAUUCCAAAUAAUCCAAGGAACAUGAUCAACAAUAGAGAUCGGAGGCUUGAGCAACUAGCUCGAACCACAUUGAUGUUAUCCUUGUUUUUGACUAUUGUUGUUACAUUGAAUACAUCAUCAUAUAUUGGUAAAUUCAUGGCCGAACAUGACACUAUCGUGAUGCUUUCACUCGUUGCUCUUGUUUUAUUUUUUCAAAUAGCAAUAUUUCGUAUUACACGAUAUCAUCUCUCGAACAACAACGACGACGACAACAUCGACAUCAAAAACGGUACAUUGCACAUUUUGGUGCUAUCAAGUGUAACAUCAAGUAUAGAAGUGAGCCUUAUUUCAUAUAUAGCAGCUAUCAUCACUUUUAUCUUAUGUUGCAUCACACUUACAUGGUUUGUUAUAGUUAACUCAAAAGAGGUGAGAGGUCUAAUGAAUUUCAUUAUACUAGUGACUUGGUUUACUAUUCUAUUCGGCCCUAUUUAUUUACUACCUUGGAUA